Long non-coding RNA from Leopardus geoffroyi (Geoffroy's cat), 2788 nucleotides. RefSeq lists it as uncharacterized. The transcript is spliced from 4 exons. The record is from RefSeq and is a predicted model, not a curated record. Lineage: Eukaryota; Metazoa; Chordata; Mammalia; Carnivora; Felidae.
UUUUUUUUUUUUUUUUUAAGAAAUAAAUAUUUGGCGCCCACUCAUCAGUCCAAUAACAAUGACAAGUCCUAAGACCCCAGCAUUUUUAAGGUAUACCUCUGACAAAUGCUCACCAAAGACUCUGGCCAAGUCUAUUAUUCUAGAUCUUUUUGAUCAACUGCAGCUGCCUAAGAUUCCAUAAGCCUGGAAAAUGGGAUACAUUGUUGCUCAAUUACUGAUAAGGCCGACUAUAAACCAGUGGCAAGAAAGGCUGGUUUCAGAAAAGCUAGUUUCAUAUACUGCUUUGCUUCUAAGAACUGGAGAAAACUUAGUAACUAGCCAAACAGCUUCAUUCAAAGGGAAAGAAACCCAAGGCCAAAGAAGUGAUUCACCCCAAGCUUUACUGUUUAUGACUUAUGAGAACCUCCAGGUGCCUAUGGCAGAUAACAUGACUUGCAGUUCCCCCCAGACAGUUCAUUGUCCAUAAUGCAUGGUGGCUAACACAUUUGGGGGAUUUUUAUGUGGGUGCCCAAGCUCACAGUACCAGAACUAGCAGCUCUGUAGUCUGACUAGUUAUGACAGCAGAGCGGAAGCUCCGCCCGGACUUCCCAGGGAUGAAUUCAGGCUCUCGCACUUUCUACUGAUGUGACUCUGGGCAAGUCACUUAACCUCUCUCUGCCUCAGUUUUCUGAGCUGUAAAUCAAGGAUUAUCAUAACAUUUCCCUUAGGGGCUGGGGUGAGAAAUGAACAAGAUAAUGGAACAUAAAGUGUUCACUCCGCACGGGGCCCUGCACAAAAGCAGUACUCAAAAAAUGUUGGCUAUUACCGACAGACACGAUGCACACCAACAUUUAUGCACGACACACAUUUGACUGGUUUCGUCUAGAACUUUGUCAAACUUGGCUAAUUACGAUCGCUGGGAAAAAUGAGAGAGGGAAUUAACGGUUCUCUAGCAGGGCUGGGAAGACCGAACCCGGCAGCUUAGAGAGAAAAGAUCCACCUUAUGACCUGACCUUGGAAGCCUUCCUGCCCUUCACGCUGAUGUCAACUGGGCUGGUCAACAAGAAAUGAAACUUCCUGGGCCCCUACUACGUGCCAGGCACAGCGUGAGACCCUAUCUCUUACUGGGUGAGGAAACAGGGUGCAAACACUGGGCGUGUGGAAAGCGGCGCGCGUGCUGAGGCCGUGCUUGGGGCACCGCCUGCCUUCCUGGCUUUACGGCUUCUUCCUAAACUGCGGCCUCCGAAUUGAGGCUGUAGGUACGGGAGGCUCUUCCUUCAAUUUCGGGACAGCAGCUCAGGGGACAGGAGGACACAAGCCACGUGCCUCGGGGCCUGAAUUCACUUCAGAAGCCAGACGUCCCCAUGGAUACUCGGGAACCGGACAGACCCCCGUGGGAAGGUUUGCUGGUGGCUUUGACCUUGGUGCCUGAGACUCAGUUUCCCAUUCUGCCGGCCGGGGGCGAUGACCUAGCCCCUCAGCCAAGCCCACCUGGCUAACGAAACAUGGAGUGACUGACGUGGGAGCGCUUCGGAUCCUCACGUUCCUAGCUCUUCAGGCUCUCCCUUAGUUUUGCAUGUGCAUGUCAAUGGUAACGAGUGAGGUAUCUAUCCCAAAGAACCGAAAGCAGGGACUCGAACAGACAUUUGUAUGCCCGUGUUCAGAGUAGCGUUAUUCACGAUGGCGGAAAGGUGGAAGAAGGCCAAGUGUCCGUCCACGGACGAGCGUGGUCCAUACACACGAUGGAAUAUUGUUCGGCCUUCAACAAGAAGGGGAUUCUGACACCCUAUAGUGUGGAUGCACCUUGAAGUUCAUCCGUGAUGCUGAGUGAAGUAAGCCGGUCGCAAAAGAACAAACACUGUGAGAGUCCACUUACGUGAGGUUCCUAGAGCAGUCAACUCACAGAGACAGAAUCAAUGGAGGCAAAAAACCAGGAGAUCCCAUAAAUCCCGUCGAGCUCGUCACAGCUGCCAAAUUAGGCCCUGAUAAAGCUUUUGGUGGCUAACGAUAUGGCCGUUCACCCGGAGUGGAUGCGGCCGGGAGGGAGGUUUCUGGAGAGCGUCUGGCCCACGGUGGAGACACUUGUCAUGAAGCGUUAUCUGAAGGCCCUCUGGCCCUAAUGAAGGGUGAAGCUUUGAACGUGAUUAUUUCUAAACAAAUAAAUAAUAAGGAUAACUUAAAAAUAAACAGAGAUCUCGAUUUAAAGGCUACUUAUUGUCUCAGGACCAAGAUUAACAGUGAGUGGCAAGUUUUUGUGAGAGAUAAUGUCUUUUCACAUAUAAAAGAUCCUAUUGAUUUCCUGUUGGUAUUAUCCCGAGAAUGUGCAAUGUGCAUCUAUGGAGCAGAGACAAUCUUCCAUCACUUGCUUUAUGGGAAGAGAACGGUUAUUGUAUCUCUUCCCAUAAAAUAUAAUCUCUUUUCCUCUUCCCCCCCAAAAAAAAAAAAAAAAAAAUCAACCUGUUCCUCUGGGAAUUUCCAGUUGUAAUCUGGGGAAGUGAAUUGAUUUUUUUUCUUUUCUUUUGCAUGUGCCAGGAUUUUUAUAUUUGGCUUCUUUGCAUUUUCUCAUUGUUCUCUGGAGUCUGGCCUUUCCAGAUUGUUAUUUGAGCCCGUCUAAAAAUUCCUUUAAAAUCAGUGCCAUUGAAACACACGUGAUGGUGGAUGUCAGGUUCCCUGUGGCUUGCUUAGAAGGGGUGCCCCUCCUUUAUCCUCCAACCGGGGGCUGGUGUGAGUGCCUGGGAGGGCUUUGGAGGCAAUGAGAGCUUGCCUAGUGUGUUGCAACAGGAUAAAAAUGCAAAAAAAAAAAACCCCA